This 184-nucleotide ribosomal RNA is filed under the name uncultured bacterium. Its description in RNAcentral is "partial 16S ribosomal RNA". It matches the Rfam family "Bacterial small subunit ribosomal RNA", at positions 1309 to 1500 of the family's 1533-position model. The record is from RNAcentral.
AACCCGACUCCGUGAAGCUGGAUUCGCUAGUAAUCGCGCAUCAGCCAUGGCGCGGUGAAUACGUUCCCGGGCCUUGUACACACCGCCCGUCAAGCCAUGGAAGCCGGGGGCGCCUGAAGUCCGGGACCGCGAGGACCGGCCUAGGGCGAAACUGGUAACUGGGGCUAAGUCGUAACAAGGUAUC